CACGUAGGCACCAAGCGUUGUCCGGAUUUAUUGGGCGUAAAGAGCUCGUAGGCGGUUCAGUAAGUCAGGUGUGAAAUCUUUGGGCUUAACCCAAAGCGUGCACUUGAUACUGCUGUGACUUGAGUUCGGUAGGGGAGUGGGGAAUUCCUAGUGUAGCGGUGAAAUGCGCAGAUAUUCGCAAGAACACCAGUGGCGAAGGCGGCUCACUGGCCCGGUACUGACGCUGAGGUGCGAAAGCGUGGGGAGCAAACAGG
This 254-nucleotide ribosomal RNA is filed under the name uncultured bacterium. RNAcentral describes it as "partial 16S ribosomal RNA". It matches the Rfam family "Bacterial small subunit ribosomal RNA", at positions 524 to 776 of the family's 1533-position model. The record is from RNAcentral.